UAUACGCGCGAUUCGCCUUUAAGUUGAUCCUGGCUCAGGAUGAACGCUAGCGGUGCGCCUAACACAUGCAAGUCGAGCGCCUGUCGCAAGACAGGAGCGGCGAACGGGUGCGUAACACGUUGGUACUCACCUCGAACUCGGGGAUAACCUCGCGAAAGCGAGGCUAAUACCGGAUGAUCCCGAAAGGGUAAAGAUUUUUCGGUUCGAGAGAGGCCUGCGGAGUAUCAGUUAGUUGGCAGGGUAAUGGCCUACCAAGACUACGACGCUUAGCUGAUCUGAGAGGAUGAUCAGCCACAAUGGAACUGAGACACGGUCCAUACUCCUACGGGAGGCAGCAGUGAGGAAUCUUCCGCAAUGGGCGAAAGCCUGACGGAGCGACACCGCGUGGAGGACGAAGGCCUUUUGGUUGUAAACUCCUUUUUUGAGGGAAUAAUUGAUGAAGUUACCUCAAGAAUAAGCACCGGCUAACUACGUGCCAGCAGCUGCGGUAAUACGUAGGGUGCAAGCGUUAUCCGGAAUUAUUGGGCGUAAAGCGUUCGCAGGCGGUUCUGUAAGUCUGUGGUUAAAUCUGACUGCUCAACGGUCAACAUGCCACAAAAACUGCAGGGCUAGAGGAUGACAGAGGCAACUGGAAUUCUGCGUGUAGGGGUAAAAUCCGUUGAUACGCAGAGGAACACCAAAAGCGAAGGCAGGUUGCUGGGUCAUUUCUGACGCUGUUGAACGAAAGCGUGGGUAGCAAACAGGAUUAGAUACCCUGGUAGUCCACGCUGUAAACGAUGGAUACUCGGUGUAAGGAGGAAUCGACCCCUCUUUGUGCCUAAGCAAACGCGUUAAGUAUCCCGCCUGGGAAGUACGGUCGCAAGAUUAAAACUCAAAGGAAUAGACGGGGACCCACACAAGCGGUGGAACAUGUGGUUUAAUUCGACGAUAAACGAGGAACCUUACCAAGGCUUGACAUCUCCAGAAUCUCUGAGAAAUCAGAGAGUGCCGCAAGGAACUGGAUGACAGGCGCUGCAUGGUCGUCGUCAGCUCGUGCCUUGAGGUGUUCGGUUAAGUCCGUGAACGAGCGCAACCCAUAUGCUGUGUUGUAUUUUCACAGCAGACUGCCGACUUCAAGUCGGAGGAAGGUAUGGAUGACGUCAGAUCAGCAUGGCCCUUAUGCCUUGGGCCACACACGUGUUACAAUGGUCGGUACAAUGGGCUGCGAACCCGUAAGGGGGAGCCAAUCCCAUCAAAGCCGAUCUCAGUUCGGAUUGAGGGCUGAAAUUCGUCCUCAUGAAGUUGGAAUCGCUAGUAACCGUAAAUCAGACAUGUUACGGUGAAUAUGUUCCUGGGUCUUGUACUCACCGCCCGUCAUAUCAUGAAAGGUGGGAGUAUCCGAAGUCGCCUUAGCCCUUUGGGGCGGGCGCCUAAGGUAAAACCGCUGAUUGGGAUAAAGUUAUAAGAAGGUAACC
RNAcentral lists this ribosomal RNA (1454 nucleotides) under uncultured bacterium. Its description in RNAcentral is "bacterial SSU rRNA". It matches the Rfam family "Bacterial small subunit ribosomal RNA". The record is from RNAcentral.